CUGGCUCAUCCUCAGAGUAUUUUUUUCAUUGCUGGAGGGGCUGCUGCUGCAUUCCUACUACUGAUAAUUCUCCUGAUCAUCAUCAUCAGCACCGUUGUUUACCACAGAAAAAAGAAGAGGAGAAGGAUCAUGACCAUGUCAAAGACUUUUUACUCCACUCAGAACAGGCCCAUGAACAGUUAUGGAAGAUCCCAUUUUGUUAGCACACCAAACUCAGAAAGAGAAGGAGCUUCCACAUCCAGGCAGACAGAGGAUAUUUAUGUCAACUACAGAAACUUCUCACGCUAACCCAGGAUAAGAAUAUGCACUGCUGCCUUAUGUCUGAAUUAGCUAACCAAAGUACUGCACAAUCAUAGGCUUCUCUUGAAUUAUCUGUUUAUACAAGCUUGACCUAUUCAUAAGUCUCCCAUCAACUGCCCAACUCUGGCUGUCUACACUGCAUUCUGCAGUACAGUUUAGAUACCUGAUACAACUUUAAACAAGAAACAGGGAAAAUGACCUGCACUGGUCAUCCUGGUGGAAUGCCCAGACUGCUUUGGGUUCCUUUGUUAACUUGUUUAAGGUAGGUUUGGUAUAUCUACUAUACAAUGCAGUCCCUAUCUGGAGCAGGACAGUAUUUAUGUUUAUGAUUUAAACUUUCCUAGUCCGUAUUUUAAGCAAUAAUAUUUUUGGUGGGGGAAAUAGAUUAAGCACCAAAUUCAAUUCUGAUAUCAGUAUAACUAAAUCUGUUCACACUAGGGCUGAAUUCCGUGAAAGAGUGAAGCAGAAGGAAAACAUGUUCUUUUUAGUCUAGUUUCAUGUAUUGAACCUCACCAGUGGCUAUCCCAAUCAACGUUUUAUAGUGGUGGCAGUAUGAAACUCUUUUUGUUGCCUAUUGACAAUAUCCGUGGAUGUGAAAUGAAACUGAGUUCCCCAGGUAAAAUAAAAUAUCCUUUUCCUUCCUUGCUUUAAGUUGCUGGCACAUGACAUAUUUGCUAUAUAGCUAAUUGGCCUUACUAUAUAGUAGAAAUGGAGCUUUAGAAAGUAGUAUAUCAUUUGAAUCCAGAUUAAAGUUAGUCCUUGAAAAAUAAGUAAUAACUAUUAUUGUGGGAAGUUACUACUUGUGUGUCUACUUCUCUAGUGUAUUACAUCUAGGAGUAGUCAUUUGCUCAAUGCAAACUGACUCCCCUGCCAUCUAGUGGCCAGACAUUGUAAUGGUACGCUUAGUUUGGAAGAAGUGGUGCAUCCACUCGCUUCUUAUUACAAAGUAAAUUUUACUGUGAAGUAAAAUUCAGGUAAACUAUUGCAUAGAAAUCUUGUCAUGCGUACACGCCCUAAGAGUUAGUAGGUGCUGUCCAUCUGAUAGAGCCCCAAGCUCAUGCAGACUUUCCCAGCAGUCAUUACAGUCACUUGGGUUCGCAUGAUUUUGAGAUGGGCUGGAGGCAGACUGUUUAACUCUCAGGAUAAAAAUAAAA
This is an RNA transcript of Alligator mississippiensis (American alligator), 1454 nucleotides long. RefSeq lists it as uncharacterized. The transcript is spliced from 3 exons. NCBI's taxonomy places the organism in Eukaryota, Metazoa, Chordata, Crocodylia, Alligatoridae. The record is from RefSeq and is a predicted model, not a curated record.